GAUAUCCAGCCCAGUGGAAACAGCUGAGACUAAAUCCAAGUUCCUGUAAAUUUGUUCUCCUUUCCUUAAAAUAUAUAUUGUGUUUUGCAUGAGAACAACCACAUGCUUCAUAAUGAUACGACCGCUUCAGUGGGAUGAUCAUUUCCACAUUUUAACAAAUCCAUUCUACUGGUAUCAAUAAAAAGCUACGGUAAAUUUGAUCAAUACUCAAUAUUUUAGGAUGACAUAAAACUCAAUUUAUAUAUAAAACCUAAUUGCACACAAAUUUAUUAAAAGUGUGAAAUGUUGCCUGUAAGUGAUAAAGCAUUCCACACUGUUCCCCUGUAUUCUCUUCAAUGAAAGAAAGAUCAGAUUAGGGUUAUUACAUAGCCCUGAAAAAACAGGACUGGCCGAUCGAAAGAUUUUAUAGGUGAACUUAUUUCAUCUCAGGUUUUAGGGUAUUUUUGUUGCAGAAUCAACAACUACUGGUCCUUAGUUACACUAAGGUCUUCCCAGGCAGAGACAGCAGUGUGUAGUUGCCUUAAAAUCACAGUCAGCACCUUCCUUGUGCAGAAAUGUAGCCAAAGGUCUCUGUGUCAUUCAUGUCCUCUGCUCUCAAGAGAUCAAAGGGAUGUCGCAGAAGGCUCCAAAAGGUGGCAGCUUGUGAGCUCUGUAACUGUUUUACUGCAGCUUUGGGGUUUUUUUUUGCUUAGUCUUUCCCACAGCAAUUGCCUGGCCACCACUAACAGAUCAUUUUAGGGCUGAUGUUGGAGUCCUGUCUGUUUUCAUUAAAGACAUUUGUCUCUUAGACAAAUUAUGGUUCUUCCUUCGGCCACAGGUCCUUGGCCAUGGGGAAUUACAAACUGUUAAUGAAAGAGCUCUGCUCUACUACACCUUUCACUGGGAUAAUGGUAUUUUCCUCUCUUCACUGGCUUCUGAUGCUCUGUUUAAACUGCUGUGGGUCUCACAUGUUUACGAAAACUGACUGCAGCUUCCUGUUCACAGGACAGCACGGAGAUUUCAUUCUGAUGGGGUCGGUAAAGGUGGUCAAACGUUUUUUGAAAGACCAGUUCCCCAAAAAGUCCCGUCUGUCGAAAUUAAAACUUUUCUUUUUAUACCUUGUUUUUGAUAGAAGUUUAUUAUAUAUAUUUGAAGGGAAAAUCUUGACCUUGUCCAAUGGGCUUCAAGUAUUAGUAACCAGUUUUGGUUACCUUUCCUACCGAAAGCAAAUGUCCUUUGUAUCUGCUACACGCUGUUGCCAGAGAGGUUCAGCUUCUCUUCAAAGGCCUAAAGCCUCAGAAAGGCCUAGAAAGUCAGUUUCAGUUCUUUCCAUGAUCUAAUCCUUUCGUUCAAAAGACACUAAGUUUAUAACAGCUGCUGAAGUAUUUCAGGAAAAUAGCUAUUUCUACCGUGUUUUAUUAUGUCUGAUGCAUCCACGCAGCCACCCAAGAAUGAUUGCAUUAGCAGGAAUAACAGUAAUAAAGAGUUAUAAUCUGUGUUUGGAUGGCAAUUACAUCAUUUCUAAACAAUUCCAGAAAUUUCUUUUAAUGUAAUUUCUGCAGCAUAAAUUGGGGGCAAACUUAUAGGACUGGAUGGCCAUUCUGCAUCUGGUUUCUGUUACCGAGAUGCUGACAGACACCAUUUGCUCAGACCAUCUGCAGAGAAAAAGAUUGGGUUUUUUUCUUUUCAGACAGACUGCUUUUGCUUUCAGCUUCUGAGGCUUGAAGUAACACAAGGCACAUGUUACUUCCAGAUAAGUGUGGGAAUGGUAUUGUUAAAAUUGUUCUGUGUAGCACUUAGUCGUAUACUUGACAUAUGAAGGAUACGCUCGUGAGAAACUGAAUGUCUCAUUUUAAAUAUUUGGUGUGCAUUAAGGGGCUGAUACAAAGCCUGCUGUAAUUGGUGUGUGUCUCCCUGACUUUACUAGCAUGUAUUGGAUCCUCAGCCCUUUCUGAGAUUUGCUAAUAGGCCCAGAUUCUGUGAAAAUAUUAAUAAUUUGUCUGCCUUUUCACUUGUAACAUCCUAACUGUGUUAAAAUAUCUUCUUAAUGGAUGCUCAGAGUUAAGGAAGACUACAGAACUCUUUUAAACUAUCCUAAAUAAGGAAGAAACAAGGGGAGCACCUUAUGUUACUUGUCACCAUGACGCUCUUUACCAGCUGUUUUUUGUCUGAAGUCCAAAUCAUGUUGAUGAAGGUACCCCAAGGCUUUGUUGACCUGCAGCAGUGACCCAGAGGACAAAGCUGUUGCCCCAUGCCAGCUCUUGCCGGCAGAAUGAGACCUCCAGAUGCCAAUGUUGACUGCCUCUUCCAAAGCUGGGUGUACACUGGAGCUGCUGUUUGGGGCUGAAGUACACAAAGAGAUUAGAAGAUUUUCCUGCAAGGAACUGUCAAACAAUCUAACAACCCCUGAAGACAGAGAACAAAAUCUCCUUGCUGGGUAAUAAACUCCACAAAGGCAUGGAUUCUGUUAGAUUUGGGGCCAAAUUCAAAGAAAGCCACAUCCAGUUUGUGGACAGUCAAACAGAUAUGCUAAAAAAUCAUAAUUAUUCUGUUAAUACAUUUAUGAAACAGAAAUCCCAUCCCUCCUUCAGCCAGUUUUCAGGGUGUGAAAUAGAGUAAGUACCAGAUUUACUUUUGCCAGUUGAUUACAAAGGUGGUUUGUUUUGUUUGUUUUUUUUUUUUCCUUUUAUUAAGGAGUCUUUCAGGAAUAUGUAAUUUCUUUUUUAUCAGUGUAAUAAUAUCCCCCACCCCUUACAGAUGUAGUAAACAUUAAAGCGAAAGCCAUGAGCUAUGUGAUACCCCUCCACACUUUGAGACACUGCAGUUACCAACAGCUUUGCCAUUUGUAUGACAGAGCUUGUUUGGGGGGGUCGUUGAAGCUGCAUGCCAGUGACCAUCUCUAGCUGUGGUGUCACUUAGACCACAACACUUAAAUCCUUUACACAGCCUGCUCCUUGGUAUUUCAUUUAGUCCUUGUGACAGGAGGUCGACCUUGCUAGUUUUGGAGGCUGAAAGUCCUCUUCUUCCUGGAAAUAAUGAGAGAAGGCAGCCAGUAUUUCCUCCUGCAGAACAAGCGAUGGUAGAGGCAAACGCUCCCAGCUAUCUCAGUCUUGUAGCUUAACCUCCAUCCAGAUGGACUAAGGAGUCAAUGGCAUGAGCCUCAGCCCUUUCCACGGAGACCAGCCAGAGGAUGCUCACUGCUCUCAGGGAUGAUAAGUUUUGCUGCACCCUAUUCCUAAAGUGAGUAGUGGUAUAUCAGAAUGUUAGAAGCCCUCCUUCAAAGUAGGUUAGCUAUUUACAGGCGAAGAAGAGCUAAGAACUAAAAAUACAAGGGUGGGCAGGAGGAACGCUAUCCAGAGAUGCAGAAAUGUUUUUGUGGCUCUCGGUGUCAGUUCAGUAAAGUGGAGACAAGUAGAACAGGCUUAAGACUUAUUAGGAAAAAGUAUUUUAAAUUUUUUUUGGCAGCAACACCUGUUUCUAUUCUGUCUCGUAGGAAAACUAGCAACUGUCUACAUGUGACAGUAGCUAAAACACUCAAAAAGGCAGAGGUACUAUUGCAACACACUGUGCCCUGAAGAACGUUGUGUCCUGUUGCAGACAGAAAGCGUAAUUUUUUUUGCAGAUAAUACUUGAGACAAGUUUCUGACUUUAAAUAUUUGAUUUGACUGUUUUUAAAUAAUGUGGACAAAGCACAGCACCAUCUCCCAGAUGGAAAUCUCUUUACUAAUUUGGUUUAAUACAGGAAAUUCUGUGCUUCUUAUUAAGAAGAAGAACAAGCUCCUUUAUCACUGGCUUAUUUGGAUUACGAGUCUCCUCUUCCCAAUCUGCCUUUUCAGAAACAUCACUAUUACGGUCUGCUGUCACACCAGCUUGGGCUAUAAUGAUCUCAUAUCCCAAGCAAUGUUAAACCUUCUCUGGGACUGGUUGGAUGAAUUCCAAGAAAAAUUUAAGGUGCCACAGGAGCUGAUUCUGAUGCUUUCAAUAUGUGACCUUUGGCUGAUCUUGAAUUGUACCAAUAACCCAGUCUGGUGGUAAUGAUAUCCUCUUCUAAAUCAGAAGUAAAACUCAGAUUUUGAUCUUAAGAGGUAAUGAGGGAGCCCAUUACCUAGUUUGGACUUGACUUUUUGGCCUCCUUGUUUUCCAGCACCCCACCAGGGGCUUUGCACCCAGCCUACAGCGUUUUACCCACAGCCUGCAGUACUAGAGGCUUUAUAUUUUAGCACACGUGCACACAAAUCAGUUUCAUAAAAUCAGUCUUUGUGCUGUAGAGCAUCAGUCAGCAGUGCACUGCUCCGUUGAAGCUGAAAGGGACUGGAUUAUAGAUCAUUUGUUUUACUAAAUAGACAAACAAAAGGUAAAUCUAUGCAUCAUGUUUAUUUUGGUGUUACAGAAAAUACUUUCAUAGUGUUUAUAAAAUAAAUUCCUAUAAAAAUAUAGUGAUAUUUAGGGAGGAGCAUUAUUAAAUUUUUGGCUAAUAGUGGCUGGGAAAUAAUUUUUGUCUUAAAAAAAAGCCCUUUCCAAAAGUAUUACUACUACAGUUAUGACACCUGACCUUCCAAAAUGCCAAGGGAGUGCUGUGGUGCUCUGACCAUCUGUAAUUACACAGAAAAACCAGUCUGCUUGUUUGCAUCAGGAAGGUGCUCUUGAUGUGAAUCUCCUGGUAACCUGCUUUUACAGCACUUCGGUUCACAUCGUGGAGUGGCCUCGGAGCACGUCAACUGAAUUCCUGCUGGAUGCAGCUGAGUAAGAAGACAUGCGCUUCAAUCGCAAGUGGGCGUUUGGUCUUUGGGACCCCUCUGAAGCUUGUCCAAGAGCGGGGAAUGCCCUGUCCUCAAACGCAACAUAUUAAAAACUGCACAGUGAGGAUGCCAGGUUCUCAAUACCAACCGUUAACGCUGUUCAGCUCUGCUCUGUCACCUGUAACAGGGCAGCACCUUUGAUGCAAAUUGCUUCCACGCUCAGUUCUGCAGGCAUGCUUUCCAUCUGAAAGAGAGGGAAAUUGUUUCUGAAGUGUUGAGGUUAACAGACAGUUUCUUCCUGUGCUGUGAUGUUUUUCAAAUACCAGCUGCACCAUACUUCGGCAUGAUCCCUAUUAUAGUGUUUAAAGCCACCUCUCAAAAUGUCUUGUUAUAGACAAUUCACAUUUAUUUAUUCAGAAGACAAGAUGAGGUGAGAACGCUGUACUUAUUCAGGCAUUACUGGCUGUUGAUCUUUUAUGUUACUGCUGGUCUCGGUGAACUUCACUAACUUUUACCAAGUUCUUUCCAGUUUGACUCCACACUUUGGACCAGUCUGAGAAAUAUUUGGGACUCUGCCCUUCUGUGAAUCCUCAGACCUGUAUCUCGAUUUGAAGCUCUCCAGUGUUUGGGAAGGCUAACAUCAGUGCUAGUUUUAGUUACUAUAAAACAUAUGUUAAUAAAUUAUUAUUUUUAUUACAUAUUCUGAUAGCAUCAAAAGCAGUUGUGAGAUUGAGCAUCUACUUAUCAACUGUCUCCUUUGAGGGUGUUCAUGUAUAAAAAAAAGCAAGUGUACCUGCAUGGACUCUGCAACUUCAAUUUUACUUUCUAAAGAGCUUUGUGAGAUCCUAAAAGCAUUCAAAGUCUAGACUAAUUGUGACUGUCAAUUAUAUGUACAGAUCUUGAAAGUUUAGUGCUUUCUUUGUUAAAAUAAUACUACUGCAGAAAAAUUUUUCACUGCAUUUUGAAUACGCCAUCAAAUCAUUGGUGCUUGUCAGUAAAGAAAUAAGUUGCUCCUACUUUAUUUCCCAGUUAUUUCUGAACAAGAAAUAUAAUACAUUUGAGGAAUGCUUUGAGGUUUUUUUUGUUUUCAGUCAGCCAUAACUUGGCCAAAGCAAAUGUAAGUCAAUUCCAUAAAAUAUUUCUGGCAGAUAAUACCAUCUUCUUUAUUCAGGAUAAAGCAUGCUGUUACUAAUGGCAGGGGGGUAUUUCCAGUGCAUCACCAUGGCUUAACAUGGUAUCAAAUUUUUGCAUACCCUGACAGCUUACCUUCCCCUCUCCCUCAGUAACUCAAAGGAAGUUGGAAAGCGUAAGGGAUUUGUAUGGUUUUAAAAGAAAUUGUGCCUGUAGUUACCAUUUUUUGUAAAACAAAGGUUGGAAGCUUGAAAAAAAACACAUGAGCAAUUACUUUGCCUUGUACCGUGGCUUUGACAUUAGGUAUUUGUCAAACUGUUGCAGAAGGCGGCACUGCCAUUAACACAACUUCUAUCCGAAGAAACACUUGAAGUUUAUUUUUCUGAAGGCAAUUUAGUCUCACAAAUCUCUGAAAGGAAAGAGUAUAGAAAUUCCCUUCUGCUUUGCAAAAAGGCGGUCUAGAGAGAACUUGUCUCAUGAUCCACAAAGGUUAAAUUAAAAAACAGAUGUCUAGAAGUUGUCCUCUACCUGACAGCAAACCAUAGAAACCAGGGAUGCCUUUUUGAAUACCCCUUUCUCUUCCUUGCCCACACAAGAACAUCAUAUCCACUGAACCCCUAACUUUACCAGUGAAAUAAAUGGGAUUAUUAAUGUUCUGAAAGAGGACUUUUCAACACUGUAAUGUAGAGGAAAAGCAACUCGCCCUCCCCCAACAGUUUAAACCUAUUGGUAUAGAAAACAUUCUGUGUUUGUAUUACCUGGUGCUAUUUACUGAAAAAGCUUUUUCUCUUUCUUUUUACAUUUAUUUUCCCUUUUUUAUUUUACUUUUCCUUUUCUUUUUCUUUUCAUUCUUCUUUUUCUUUGCACAUGCAAAAAUACAUGCACAAAAUCAGGUUACAACAGCAUUACCAAGAUUACAAAAUCCAGCCUACCUAAAUUAGGCAAUGGCAGACUUAGAGGUACUAUACAAUACUGAUUUAUGUGUUUGUACACGUGUACUAUGAUACAGUCAAUAAAUAUACCACUGAGUUCCACUGUUUACCUUGGGUACCUGCCAGUACAUGGACAGAAGUUGCUCACUCAUGGAGUAGUAAAGUACUAUUUCUGGCCACCUUCAUUAUUCAGGGCCAAAAUCCCUGCCUUUUAUUUACUGUGCAUCAGUUCUCCUUCAGAGCAGGGUUUGAAUUAUUUCACCAUCUCACCGGGUUUUUUUAAAGGCAGCCAUCAGUACAGUUUGUAAAACCUCAUUAUUAUUAUUAUUGUUGUUGUUGUUAUUGUUGUUAUUAUUAUUGAUAGUGAUAGCUUUUUUUGUGGAUAUAAAAGCAAAUGGAGAGAUUCAUGUUAUAAUUUUUUCUUUUGGGCACCCAGUCCGGAACACUGAAGACCUGCUUUUUCAAGGGAAUAUGUAAUAGCCAUUCAUAUAUUCAAAGCACAGCUUCCAGAGGAUUUAAUGUCAUUUGGGAAUUUUUCCACGUCUUAAAUUCAGAAAUGUCUUCAGCUCAAUACUCAGCCAAUAAGGAUCCAGAUUGGUGACCCCAUGAGAUGGUGCCUUACAGUGAGAUAUAUUUACAAGAGGCUGGUAAAAGUAUUUCUUUCUCUUCAGUGCUUGUUUGCGGCAUCUGCACAUGCUUGCCUUUGAGCAAGUCCCUGACGGCACACGCUGGGACAGAGCCACGAUCCCCCUAGCAUGUGCACUCAUGGUCUCGUGGAGCUCUGGUCAGGGAACUACAGGCAAGCUUUUCCCUCGAGCCUGGUGUGUAGGCAACAACCAUGGGGUGAACUGGCAAAAGGAAUGAGUCCCCUUCUGGGAGACCUUCUGAUCCCCCCCACAGUCCCAUGAGCAUGGAAAAGACGAGAAACGGUCGAGCUUGGUGAGAAAAACUCACAAAGCAACCCGUGCUUCGGAGCCUAAGAAUGGACUAGUCAGGAAAAGAUUUGGGCCAGUAUCUUCUCCUGCAAACAAUGAUCCAGCUGGCCGGUGGGACGUCAGGUGGAAUGUCUCCUAUCUCUGUUAUCUCUGUAGUGCUGGAGCUGGUAGAAAGACCCGCCACAUUGUAAUUGAGCAAUUCUGUUUGGCAACAGCAAUUCUAGUUGGCAACAGCUUCUGUCUGCACCUCGUACAUGAUGUUAUCUGAAACAACACAACAAAAAUAGUCAUAUUUUGCAACUUACAUCCUGGACAGAGUAUAAGCCAACAAUCAGAAGGUGAAAGGCUGUGUAAAAAGUGCCCUGGAGUGCAGAAGAGAGAUACUAAAGCUGGUAAACUACCAUGAAAGGAAGUUUGAUAAUACUGCUUUUAGAUAUGCAUUAGUUUCAGUGUUCUUUAUACUCUGGGAUGAAGCAGACAGUUUUUCCAAGACAAGCAAUGAUGGAAAAUCAUACCAGUGAGAGCGAGCCAGCAAGGAAAAGCUAGCACAAGAUCCAUACACUGGCAGGAAAUAGUGAAACUAUAUUUCAUUUUACAUUCUUGUCUUUAUUCAGAGAUAACAGUAGAGAAACAAUACUUCUCCCCCAGCUUCCAAACCAUUUGGUCCUGGGAUUCCUUUCCUACCCUGGAUGGAGGUUAAACUGCUCUGGUGGAUUAAUCACUGAGUUCAGUGCACGCCAAGGCUUUCCCAGGUGUAUCUGUCCUCAGCUCUUCGUCUUGCUCUAAAGUUGCAGGCGAUGUUUGAGCCCACGGCUUUUCCUGGAAGCGCAAGCGGUGCUGCUUACAAACACGACUUCUCCUUCCAGGGUGGGGGUUGGCUGGAGCUGGCAAAUACGGGUAAUAAUCAGGCCUCUGUGGAUCUCGAGGCUAGAUUACAACAGUUCGUCUUCAUACAAAUGUUUAUAUUUAAAAAUAAAGUACCAUAGUUAGUCA
This is a long non-coding RNA of Aquila chrysaetos chrysaetos, 8709 nucleotides long. RefSeq lists it as uncharacterized. The record is from RefSeq and is a predicted model, not a curated record. NCBI's taxonomy places the organism in Eukaryota, Metazoa, Chordata, Aves, Accipitriformes, Accipitridae. The transcript has 3 exons.